This 187-nucleotide ribosomal RNA is filed under the name Oribacterium sp. KHPX15. RNAcentral describes it as "16S rRNA. Bacterial SSU". It matches the Rfam family "Bacterial small subunit ribosomal RNA", at positions 1 to 178 of the family's 1533-position model. Lineage: Bacteria; Bacillati; Bacillota; Clostridia; Lachnospirales; Lachnospiraceae. The record is from RNAcentral.
UUUAAUAUGAGAGUUCGAUCCUGGCUCAGGAUGAACGCUGGCGGCGUGCCUAACACAUGCAAGUCGAACGAGCGAGAGAUGAAACCUAGUGAUUCUCAAGCGAGUGGCGGACGGGUGAGUAACGCGUGGGUAACCUGCCUUACAGAGGGGGAUAACAGUCUGAAAAGACUGCUAAUACCGCAUAAGC